CCUACGGGUGGCUGCAGUCAAGAAUAUUCCACAAUGGGGGAAACCCUGAUGGAGCGACGCCGCGUGUAGGAUGAAGGUCUUCGGAUUGUAAACUACUUUUCUAAGGGACGAAGCUUCGGCUGACGGUACCUUGGGAAUAAGAGGUUGCUAACUCUGUGCCAGCAGCAGCGGUAAUACAGAGACCUCAAGCGUUAUCCGGAUUUAUUGGGCGUAAAGCGUGCGCAGUCGGUUCGUUAAGUCUCUCGUCAAAUCUCUGGGCUCAACCCAGGGGCUGCGGGGGAUACUGGCGAGCUCGAGGAUGGGAGAGGCAAGCGGAAUUACCGGUGUAGUAGUAAAAUGCGUUAAUAUCGGUAAGAACACCAAAGGCGAAGGCAGCUUGCUGGAACAUUCCUGACGAUAAAGCACGAAAGCGUGGGGAGCGAAGCGGAUUAGAUACCCUU
This 440-nucleotide ribosomal RNA is filed under the name uncultured bacterium. RNAcentral describes it as "bacterial SSU rRNA". It matches the Rfam family "Bacterial small subunit ribosomal RNA", at positions 338 to 789 of the family's 1533-position model. The record is from RNAcentral.